GACGAACGCUGGCGGCGUGCUUAACACAUGCAAGUCGAACGGUAAGGCCCUUCGGGGUACACGAGUGGCGAACGGGUGAGUAACACGUGGGUGAUCUGCCCUGCACUUCGGGAUAAGCCUGGGAAACUGGGUCUAAUACCGGAUAGGACCACUGCCUGCAUGGGUGGUGGUGGAAAGCUUUUGCGGUGUGGGAUGGGCCCGCGGCCUAUCAGCUUGUUGGUGGGGUGAUGGCCUACCAAGGCGACGACGGGUAGCCGGCCUGAGAGGGUGACCGGCCAAACUGGGACUGAGAUACGGCCCAGACUCCUACGGGAGGCAGCAGUGGGGAAUAUUGCAGAAUGGGCGCAAGCCUGAUGCAGCGACGCCGCGUGAGGAUGACGGCCUUCGGGUUGUAAACCUCUUUCAGCACCGACGAAGCGCAAGUGACGGUAGGUACAGAAGAAGGACCGGCCAACUACGUGCCAGCAGCCGCAGUAA
This 477-nucleotide ribosomal RNA is filed under the name uncultured bacterium. RNAcentral's name for it is "partial 16S ribosomal RNA". It matches the Rfam family "Bacterial small subunit ribosomal RNA", at positions 28 to 523 of the family's 1533-position model. The record is from RNAcentral.